Molecule: long non-coding RNA, 494 nt
Organism: Macadamia integrifolia
Lineage: Eukaryota; Viridiplantae; Streptophyta; Magnoliopsida; Proteales; Proteaceae
Exons: 2
Source: RefSeq, a predicted model, not a curated record
CUGUCGAUUGUUGGCCGUGGUUAUGCCAGGUUUCUCACAAGUGAUUCAAUACGCGUUACUACUGUAGGCUCUGCUUAGGACAAAGGGGAUGCUGCCAACUGGAUGAUUGUGCUUUCUAGAAUCAAGUAUGGACCUGCAAGAUACUGGGCGAUCUUAUUUGUCUUCUGGUUUCUUGUGUUUGGAAUAUGGGCCUCUCGAACACAUGGUGCGCAUAAUACAUGAUUCUGGUAUAUUGGUAAUGUGCAGGAGGGAAAUGUUAUUUAUAAUGCUUUUCAAUUGUUAUUCUUUAAAUUGUGAACUCUUGUAAAGAUUAUUGGUACCACCAUACCUAACUCAAAAGAUCCCGUAAAUUGCUUCUCCACCAUAAUUCUUCAACUGAAUAUGUUCAUAUUCUGGUAUUGAUGGCUUUCUAUGGUAUGGACCAUUUUGAUUUGACACUUGUUUGAUGAGGUUAAUUUUAAUUCUCACCAUGAGGGAUAUAUACUGAUGACAAA